This 203-nucleotide ribosomal RNA is filed under the name uncultured bacterium. RNAcentral's name for it is "partial 16S ribosomal RNA". It matches the Rfam family "Bacterial small subunit ribosomal RNA", at positions 570 to 774 of the family's 1533-position model. The record is from RNAcentral.
CGUAGGCGGUAUAGUAAGACUUGGGUGAAAUCUCCAUGCUUAACGUGGAGGGAGCCUGGGAGACUGCUGUGCUAGAGGAUUGGAAGGGAGACUGGAAUUCUUGGAGUAGCAGUGAAAUGCGUAGAUAUCAAGAGGAACACCAGUGGCGAAGGCGAGUCUCUGGACAAGACCUGACGCUGAGGACAAGGCCAGGGGAUCAAACG